CCACUUUGACAUGGGAGAGAUCUGGAGAACAUUUAUUUAACAAUUUUUGAGUGCGUACCAUAUGCUCAGGACUGGGCCAAGUUGUGACAAUCCAAGAAUGAACAAGUUAUACUCAAGAUCUCUGCUUUCUAGAGUUUACAGCCUAGUGAGAAAGAAAGACAAGUAACUUUGGGAACUUUUGAGAAUAAGGCUGUAGAAUAUUUACAUUUAUUAUAUAACAGGCAUUCUUUAAUAUUUGAGGCAACAUUAUUUUCUCAUCUUUCCAUUGAACUAAAUUGGCUAAAACCGGUAACAAUCUCUGCUCUGUGCUGGGGGUGGCAAAUGUCAGCCUGGAAUUCAGACAGUCCUCCACUAAGUGAAGACUCCAAUGAAUAAUGGAGCAAACAGUACUCCGGGCAGACAGCCAUCAAGAGCUUCUACAAUUAAGAUAAAUUGAGUUUGAAUUAAACUUCUUCAAAAUUUUUGGUGCACCACAAAAUUAACACAUCAUGAGAAAACUCUGAAGUUUGAAAAAUGGAGUUUGAAAGAACAUGGUCAAACCCCAAGCAACAUUCUCCUGAGAGUCUGAUCACUCUUUUAAGUUGACCAGAAAAAGCAGAGUAUUACAUAUGAACAGUGGAAGGCCCUGCCAUUUAUUUCUGUCUAAGUUUGGGACAUUGAAUGAUUCUAAUUAUAAAGAUAGUUUUGUGUCCUCAUGUCUAACUUUAACUUAGCAUAGAAAAAAAAAAUCAUCCAAACAUCUGAAAGAAAGUUAUCCCUGUUGGAGACCAACUCUGUCUGCAUAUUUGUUAUAUUGUCAAUUCAUGAGUAACUGGCUUACAAUUUAAAUUAUAAAGACUAGUCAAAUUUUUAAUAAUUUUCUAAGUUUGAAAACAUAGUUAUAAUGAUACAAAGCACAGUGUAUGAAAUCUGCAGGGUCUAAAUCUGUUUCUGGCAAUGAGCCACAAACCCCUUAGCUACCUAAUAGCUAAGGUACUGUUUUGCCUAUUAUUCAUAAGUUUUUAUAUUAUUAAAUGCACUUAUCGGUAUCUUUAUUUAAGAUGUGUAUCUUGAACCCCAGUAUCAUUUAAUAAUUUGCCGAAUUUUUCUAUCAAAAUUUACAAUGUAAUAAAUUUUAAUAAUGUCUUUAAAUAAUAAUAAUGUCUAAGAGAUUGUGAUAAUAAAAUUAGCUUUUACCUUAAUGAAGUUAUUUUUAAGUAAAAUUAGGUGUAUGCAAUGCCCCAGAUCUAGGCUCUUAUAGAAAUAUUUGGUAAUCAAUCUCCUGAGUAAAAUAUGGAUUAUGAGUUACAAGAAGUAUGAACACUGGUAUGCUCUUUGCUAUUCAGUAAAAUACUAGGAAUCCUUGAUCACCAGGAAUCUUUGAUUACUAUGUGAUUACCUCUUGCAUAGGUAACAUUUCCCCCAAGUUUAUAGUAGUAUAAAGAUUCACUGUUAACUAUCUGUAGUGACACGGAUACGCUUCACAAUCACUACAUGUAAGAUAUAUAACACCCAAUUAUAGUAUUCACUAAAAUAUACAUACAUUUGAG
This 1529-nucleotide long non-coding RNA is filed under the name Rhinolophus ferrumequinum (greater horseshoe bat). RNAcentral's name for it is "lncRNA (ENSRFEG00010002990.1)". Lineage: Eukaryota; Metazoa; Chordata; Mammalia; Chiroptera; Rhinolophidae. The record is from RNAcentral.